Molecule: ribosomal RNA, 71 nt
Filed under: Prevotellaceae bacterium
Lineage: Bacteria; Pseudomonadati; Bacteroidota; Bacteroidia; Bacteroidales; Prevotellaceae
Description: partial 16S ribosomal RNA
Rfam family: Bacterial small subunit ribosomal RNA
Source: RNAcentral
ACAAUGAAGAGUUUGAUCCUGGCUCAGGAUGAACGCUGGCGGCAGGCUUAACACAUGCAAGUCGAGGGGCA